Molecule: long non-coding RNA, 1011 nt
Organism: Cynocephalus volans (Philippine flying lemur)
Lineage: Eukaryota; Metazoa; Chordata; Mammalia; Dermoptera; Cynocephalidae
Exons: 4
Source: RefSeq, a predicted model, not a curated record
UCGGCCUGAGGGAGCGCGGGACGGUGCGCCGGCGUCGCGUGCGCGGUGUGUGAGCAGGUCGCGCGCGCGGCAGGCGAGUGAGGGAGCGGGGAGCGGCCGGGUGCGUGUGUGUGGGAGUGAGUGCGUGUGGGAGUGGGAGGGAGGGGAAGGCAGAACGACCGCAGGCCGCGAGAGAGUGGGCGAGUGCGAGAGGACGUCCGGCUGGCCGCGGGAGCCGCGGGCGGCGGAGGAGAAAGGAGGCGGCUCCCGGCAUCCCGACCCCUCCCCCGCCUCUCCUCCGACUUCCAGCCGGCCCGGCUGCCCGCGCUUCCUCAGAGGCCCCAGCCGGGCUCCGGCGGCCGACGGCGAGGGAGGCGCCGCCCGGGCCAGAAACUGUAUAUUCAAGAAGAAAUAAUCCAGAAGGAACAACAAGCAGAUCAAGAUGUGUAGCUCUGUGGCUGCCAAGUUGUGGUUUUUGACAGAUCGUCGAAUCAGGGAAGACUAUCCCCAAAAAGGGAUAUUACGAGCAUUGAAGACCAGAUGUUGUGAGGAGGAACUGGACUUUAGGGCCAUGGUGAUGGAUGAAGUGGUGCUGACAGUCGAGCAAGGAAACCUGGGAUGACUGGUAAGGGGAUCUUAACCCUUGACUUGAUGUUGUCAGCACCAUGCUCUCCCAAGUGAGCUAACCGGCCAUCCCUGUAUAGGGAUCCGAACCCGUGGCCUUGGUGUUAUCAGCACCACACUCUCCCAGGGAUUCGAACCCUUGACCUUGGUAUUAUCAGCGUCAUGCUCAACCUACUUGAGUGAGCUAACUGGCCAGCCCUCAUGAUGUUAUUCUUUGAAGUAUUAAGGUUUUUAAUUUAAUGAAGUCCAAUUUAUCUUGUUUUUCUUUUGUUGCUUGUGCUUUUGAUGUCAUAUCAAAAAAGGUUUUUCAAACCAAGGGUCCCAAAGACUUACAUUUAGAUCUGUGAUCCAUUUUGUGUUAAUUUUUACGUAUGGUGUGAAAAAAGGGUCUAACUUCAUUCUUAUGCU